RNAcentral lists this ribosomal RNA (253 nucleotides) under uncultured bacterium. RNAcentral describes it as "partial 16S ribosomal RNA". It matches the Rfam family "Bacterial small subunit ribosomal RNA", at positions 524 to 776 of the family's 1533-position model. The record is from RNAcentral.
UACGUAGGGUGCAGGCGUUAAUCGGAAUUACUGGGCGUAAAGGGCGCGUAGGCGGCUUACCAAGUCAGGCGUGAAAUUCCCGGGCUCAACCUGGGGGCUGCGCUUGAUACUGGUGAGCUUGAAUGCGGGAGAGGAUAGUGGAAUUCCCAGUGUAGAGGUGAAAUUCGUAGAUAUUGGGAAGAACACCAGUGGCGAAGGCGGCUCACUGGCCCGUAACUGACGCUGAGGUGCGAAAGCGUGGGGAGCAAACAGG